RNAcentral lists this transfer RNA (58 nucleotides) under Salmo salar (Atlantic salmon). It matches the Rfam family "tRNA", at positions 8 to 63 of the family's 71-position model. Rfam says of the family: Transfer RNA (tRNA) molecules are approximately 80 nucleotides in length. Their secondary structure includes four short double-helical elements and three loops (D, anti-codon, and T loops). Further hydrogen bonds mediate the characteristic L-shaped molecular structure. tRNAs have two regions of fundamental functional importance: the anti-codon, which is responsible for specific mRNA codon recognition, and the 3' end, to which the tRNAs corresponding amino acid is attached (by aminoacyl-tRNA synthetases). tRNAs cope with the degeneracy of the genetic code in two manners: having more than one tRNA (with a specific anti-codon) for a particular amino acid; and 'wobble' base-pairing, i.e. permitting non-standard base-pairing at the 3rd anti-codon position. Lineage: Eukaryota; Metazoa; Chordata; Actinopteri; Salmoniformes; Salmonidae. The record is from Rfam by way of RNAcentral.
UAGCUCAGUUGAUAGAGCAUGGUGUGUGCAACACCAGGGUUGUGGGUUUGAUUCCCAC